GCAUAAUGGUGGUUCAGUGUUAGAAUUCUCGCCUGCCACACGGUAAGCCCGGUUUGAUUCCCGCCAAUGCA
This 71-nucleotide transfer RNA is filed under the name Alosa alosa (allis shad). RNAcentral's name for it is "tRNA-OTHER". Lineage: Eukaryota; Metazoa; Chordata; Actinopteri; Clupeiformes; Clupeidae. The record is from RNAcentral.